UUUAGUCAGGCAACGAGCAAGACCCGUGCCCACAGUUGCCAGCAUACCCUCCGGGGUGAUGGGCACACUGUGGGGACCGCCGCUGCUAAAGCGGAGGAAGGCGCGGGCUACGGUAGGUCAGUAUGCCCCGAAUCAUCCGGGCUACACGCGGGCUACAAUGGUUGGGACAAUGGGCACCUACACCGAGAGGUGAUGGUAAUCUCCUAAACCCAGCCUUAGUUCGGAUUGAGGGCUGCAACUCGCCCUCACGAAGCCGGAAUCCGUAGUAAUCGCGUAUCAAUAUCACGCGGUGAAUACGUCCCUGCUCCUUGCACA
Molecule: ribosomal RNA, 315 nt
Filed under: uncultured archaeon
Lineage: Archaea
Description: bacterial SSU rRNA
Rfam family: Archaeal small subunit ribosomal RNA
Source: RNAcentral